Molecule: long non-coding RNA, 995 nt
Organism: Gorilla gorilla gorilla (western lowland gorilla)
Lineage: Eukaryota; Metazoa; Chordata; Mammalia; Primates; Hominidae
Exons: 3
Source: RefSeq, a predicted model, not a curated record
GCCAAGCUUGCGGGCAGGACUUGAGCUGUUCCACCGAGCAGGGAGCUCAGAGGCAGCAGGGGCUCACCAGCCUGGGAUGUGACCACCUGGGGCUGUUUGCCAAGGGCAGGAGCAAGUUUGCCUGAGAAGUUCUGACACCCCCACUGGCCCUGGCAAGGAGACUGAGUGCAGGCUCUGUGUGCAACCGGAGUGUCCUGAGAUUGGCUCUGUCCCCCGCAGAAACAAGCUGUGUGAUUAUGGGCUGGAGUGCAGUGGUGCAGUCACGGAUCACUGCAGCUUGGAACUCCUGGGCUCAAGCCAUCCUCCGGCCUCAACCUCCUGAGUAGCUGGGACUACAGGGAUGGUGAUGAAGGACCCCAGAAGCGCUGCCUGUACACCCCCAACCAGGCUCCAGUGGGUGCCACUUGUCCCGGCCUGAAGUCACAGCCUCCAGAUGCUGCCUCCCUCUGCCAAUUCCUAUACCUGCUGGGGUGGACACUGAGGGCCAGUCCCAGACUUGGGAGCAGGGUGGGAGUGGGAUGGGGGGUGGUGCGUAGGGAGGACCUCUAUGUGGCCCUGAUUGUUGGCUCAGUUUCCUCUGCCUGGAGGAUGGGUCGAGGUGUCCCCUGGUUGUGACAGAACGGAGGCUGUGGGUUCUCAGCCCCUGCAAUCCCCACCCUGCAUUUGGAAUAUUCUGUCCUGGCUCCUGAGUCUGAAGAAGGUGCAAAAUAUGUGGUUUGGAACUCGUAUUGAAUCUGAGCGUGGCUCUGGCUCUUGCAGACUCAGAAUCUUUUCCGUUCUAGCUUCAGUGUGUCUGAGACUCAUUGUUUGCUAAGGAUUGAUUCCAUGAAUGAGUGACCUGCCCUCAGUGGGGCCCAUCCUUGAUCGAAGGCUCUGUUGUUGCUGUCUUGAAACUCAAUAAUGUCUGAACAAGAGACCCGGCAUCUCCAUUUUGCACCGGGUUCUGUAAAUUAUGUAGCCAGUCUCAGUUCACUUUUAGUUGUCUGCCCUUUAGU